Molecule: ribosomal RNA, 253 nt
Filed under: uncultured bacterium
Lineage: Bacteria
Also listed under: 1 other name
Description: partial 16S ribosomal RNA
Rfam family: Bacterial small subunit ribosomal RNA
Source: RNAcentral
GACGUAGGAGGCGAGCGUUGUCCGGAUUCAUUGGGCGUAAAGAGCGCGCAGGCGGCUUGGUAAGUCGGAUGUGAAAUCCCGAGGCUCAACCUCGGGUCUGCAUCCGAUACUGCCCGGCUAGAGGUAGGUAGGGGAGAUCGGAAUUCCUGGUGUAGCGGUGAAAUGCGCAGAUAUCAGGAGGAACACCGGUGGCGAAGGCGGAUCUCUGGGCCUUACCUGACGCUCAGGCGCGAAAGCUAGGGGAGCGAACUGG